RNAcentral lists this ribosomal RNA (784 nucleotides) under Tachycixius pilosus. Its description in RNAcentral is "SSU rRNA". It matches the Rfam family "Eukaryotic small subunit ribosomal RNA", at positions 1021 to 1810 of the family's 1831-position model. Lineage: Eukaryota; Metazoa; Arthropoda; Insecta; Hemiptera; Cixiidae. The record is from RNAcentral. RNAcentral also lists the same sequence under 1 other name.
UAGUUCUAACCAUAAACCAUGCCUGCCAGCGAUCCGCCGGCGUUCCUCCGAUGACCCGGCGGGCAGCUUCCGGGAAACCAGAGCUUUUGGGUUCCGGGGGAAGUAUGGUUGCAAAGCUGAAACUUAAAGGAAUUGACGGAAGGGCACCACCAGGAGUGGAGCCUGCGGCUUAAUUUGACUCAACACGGGAAAACUCACCAGGCCCGGACACCGGAAGGAUUGACAGAUUGAGAGCUCUUUCUUGAUUCGGUGGGUGGUGGUGCAUGGCCGUUCUUAGUUGGUGGAGCGAUUUGUCUGGUUAAUUCCGAUAACGAACGAGACUCUAUCCUAUUAAAUAGACGCAUCCGGUAUCCGCAAUCGUGCUACCGGCGAAUAAAUUUCUUCUUAGAGGUACGGGCGGCUGCUAGCCGCACGAUACUGGGCAAUAACAGGUCUGUGAUGCCCUUAGAUGUCCUGGGCCGCACGCGCGCUACACUGAAGGAAUCAGCGUGUCUUCCCUGUCCGUGAGGACCGGGUAACCCGCUGAACCUCCUUCGUGAUAGGGAUUGGGGCUUGAAACUGUUCCCCAUGAACGAGGAAUUCCCAGUAAGCGCGAGUCAUAAGCUCGCGUUGAUUACGUCCCUGCCCUUUGUACACACCGCCCGUCGCUACUACCGAUUGAAUGAUUUAGUGAGGUCUUCGGACUGGCGCGCGGAGUCGGCUUCGUCGCCUCCGAUGUCGUCGGAAAGAUGACCAAACUUGAUCAUUUAGAGGAAGUAAAAGUCGUAACAAGGUUUCCGUAGGU